AUUGAACGCUGGCGGCAGGCCUAACACAUGCAAGUCGAGCGGCAGCGACUUAACUGAACCUUCGGGGAACGUUAAGGGCGGCGAGCGGCGGACGGGUGAGUAAUGCCUGGGAAUAUGCCCUGAUGUGGGGGAUAACUAUUGGAAACGAUAGCUAAUACCGCAUAAUCUCUUCGGAGCAAAGAGGGGGACCUUCGGGCCUCUCGCGUCAGGAUUAGCCCAGGUGGGAUUAGCUUGUUGGUGAGGUAAUGGCUCACCAAGGCAACGAUCCCUAGCUGGUCUGAGAGGAUGAUCAGCCACACUGGAACUGAGACACGGUCCAGACUCCUACGGGAGGCAGCAGUGGGGAAUAUUGCACAAUGGGGGAAACCCUGAUGCAGCCAUGCCGCGUGUGUGAAGAAGGCCUUCGGGUUGUAAAGCACUUUCAGUAGGGAGGAAGGUAGUGUAGUUAACACCUGCACUAUUUGACGUUACCUACAGAAGAAGCACCGGCUAACUCCGUGCCAGCAGCCGCGGUAAUACGGAGGGUGCGAGCGUUAAUCGGAAUUACUGGGCGUAAAGCGCAUGUAGGCGGCCUGUUAAGUCAGAUGUGAAAGCCCGGGGCUUAACCUCGGAAUUGCAUUUGAAACUGGCAGGCUAGAGUCUUGUAGAGGGGGGUAGAAUUUCAGGUGUAGCGGUGAAAUGCGUAGAGAUCUGAAGGAAUACCAGUGGCGAAGGCGGCCCCCUGGACAAAGACUGACGCUCAGAUGCGAAAGCGUGGGGAGCAAACAGG
Molecule: ribosomal RNA, 769 nt
Filed under: uncultured bacterium
Lineage: Bacteria
Description: bacterial SSU rRNA
Rfam family: Bacterial small subunit ribosomal RNA
Source: RNAcentral